RNAcentral lists this ribosomal RNA (164 nucleotides) under uncultured bacterium. RNAcentral's name for it is "partial 16S ribosomal RNA". It matches the Rfam family "Bacterial small subunit ribosomal RNA", at positions 355 to 511 of the family's 1533-position model. The record is from RNAcentral.
UAGGGAAUCUUCCACAAUGGACGAAAGUCUGAUGGAGCAACGCCGCGUGAGUGAAGAAGGGUUUCGGCUCGUAAAACUCUAUCGUUAAAGAAGAACAUAUCUGAGAGUAACUGUUCAGGUAUUGACGGUAUUUAACCAGAAAGCCACGGCUAACUACGUGCUAG